AGAGUUUGAUCAUGGCUCAGAAUCAACGCUGGCGGCAUGCCUAACACAUGCAAGUCGAGCGAGAAAGUGUAGCAAUACAUGAGUAAAGCGGCGCACGGGUGAGUAACACGUGGAUAACCUGCCUCAAAGUGGGGAAUAACACCGGGAAACCGGUGCUAAUACCGCAUAUUCUGAUGAGAUCUGCGGAUUUUGUCAGGAAAGGAGCAAUUCGCUAUGAGAGGGGUCCGCGGCUGAUUAGCUAGUUGGUGAGGUAAUGGCUCACCAAGGCUUCGAUCAGUAGCCGGUCUGAGAGGACGGUCGGCCACACUGGAACUGAGACACGGUCCAGACUCCUACGGGAGGCAGCAGUGGGGAAUUUUUCGCAAUGGGGGAAACCCUGACGAAGCAAUGCCGCGUGGAUGAUGAAGUAUCUCGGUACGUAAAAUCCUUUCGACGGGGACGAAGCCGCAAGGUUGACGGUACCCGUAGAAGAGCCCC
RNAcentral lists this ribosomal RNA (477 nucleotides) under uncultured Acidobacteriaceae bacterium. RNAcentral's name for it is "bacterial SSU rRNA". It matches the Rfam family "Bacterial small subunit ribosomal RNA", at positions 8 to 493 of the family's 1533-position model. The record is from RNAcentral. Lineage: Bacteria; Pseudomonadati; Acidobacteriota; Terriglobia; Terriglobales; Acidobacteriaceae.